Molecule: small RNA, 28 nt
Filed under: Bombyx mori (domestic silkworm)
Lineage: Eukaryota; Metazoa; Arthropoda; Insecta; Lepidoptera; Bombycidae
Description: ovarian small RNA-15003
Source: RNAcentral
CUUGAUACUAGAGCUAGGUGUGUGUUUA